CAGCAGCCGCGGUAAAACGGAGGGUGCAAGCGUUAAUCGGAAUUACUGGGCGUAAAGCGCACGCAGGCGGUCUGUCAAGUCGGAUGUGAAAUCCCCGGGCUCAACCCGGGAACUGCAUUCGAAACUGGCAGGCUAGAGUCUUGUAGAGGGGGGUAGAAUUCCAGGUGUAGCGGUGAAAUGCGUAGAGAUCUGGAGGAAUACCGGUGGCGAAGGCGGCCCCCUGGACAAAGACUGACGCUCAGGUGCGAAAGCGUGGGGAGCAAACAGGAUUAGAUACCCGGGUAGUCCCUGUCUCUUAUAC
This 301-nucleotide ribosomal RNA is filed under the name uncultured bacterium. RNAcentral describes it as "partial 16S ribosomal RNA". It matches the Rfam family "Bacterial small subunit ribosomal RNA", at positions 509 to 807 of the family's 1533-position model. The record is from RNAcentral.